CCUACGGGUGGCAGCAGUGGGGAAUAUUGCACAAUGGGGGAAACCCUGAUGCAGCGACGCCGCGUGAGUGAAGAAGUAAUUCGGUUUGUAAAGCUCUAUCAGCAGGGAAGAAAAUGACGGUACCUGAGUAAGAAGCCCCGGCUAACUACGUGCCAGUAGCCGCGGUAAUACGUAGGGGGCAAGCGUUAUCCGGAUUUACUGGGUGUAAAGGGAGCGUAGAUGGCAGGGCAAGCCGGAAGUGAAAGGCGGGGGCCCAACCCGCGGAUUGGUCUGGGAACUGUCAGGCUGGAGUGCUGGAGUGGUAAGUGGAAUUCCUAGUGUAGCGGUGAAAUGCGUAGAUAUUAGGAGGAACACCAGUGGCGAAGGCGGCUUACUGGACAGUAACUGACGUUGAGGCUCGAAAGCGUGGGGAGCAAACAGGAUUAGAUACCCUUGUAGUC
RNAcentral lists this ribosomal RNA (440 nucleotides) under uncultured bacterium. RNAcentral describes it as "partial 16S ribosomal RNA". It matches the Rfam family "Bacterial small subunit ribosomal RNA", at positions 338 to 795 of the family's 1533-position model. The record is from RNAcentral.